GAUCCUGGCUCAGGAUGAACGCUAGCGGCAGGCUUAACACAUGCAAGUCGAGGGGCAGCGCGGGGCGGCAACGUCCUGGCGGCGACCGGCGGAAGGGUGCGUAACGCGUGAGCGAUAUGCCCGUUGCCCGGGGACAACCGGUGGAAACGCCGACUAAUCCUUGAUGGGACGGAGGCCCUCAUGGGUCUCUGUUGAAAGUUACGGCGGCGACGGAUUGGCUCGCGUCCGAUUAGCUUGUUGGCGGGGUAACGGCCC
Molecule: ribosomal RNA, 255 nt
Filed under: uncultured bacterium
Lineage: Bacteria
Description: partial 16S ribosomal RNA
Rfam family: Bacterial small subunit ribosomal RNA
Source: RNAcentral